Molecule: non-coding RNA, 26 nt
Filed under: Rattus norvegicus (Norway rat)
Lineage: Eukaryota; Metazoa; Chordata; Mammalia; Rodentia; Muridae
Source: RNAcentral
UAUUUAAAGGACCAAGGCUAGCCUGA